GAGACACUGGGAAAGAGCUCAGGGAAGACAGCAAGUGGCUGAACUGGGCCAUUUGUGAGCCGGUACGAGUUCACCUUCAGUGUCGCCACACUCCUUUCAUCUCUGAGGACCCCAAGCUUGUUCCCCUAGCACCGCAGGUCAACUCCUUCAUAUAGUACUGUUCCCUCUCUCAAGGUCUGCUCCCAGGCAAAGUUCUGGAAGUUGUUUUCUCAAUCUGGUGUAAAAGACUGAUAAUAGCUUGCACGUACCUUUGCAGACGUUUUUGUAUUUCGACAAGGCUGAACACCUUAAUGCCAAGCUGUGCUGCUCCAGUUGGCCUGCCCGGCACAUCAGUGGGCAGCGUGUCUGUAAGGGGAGGGGCCUUUCCUGACACAGCUGGAGCACAGCAUGUAGUAGCUGUUUAUUCCACCUCGGCAGACAGUCAGAUUUAGUUGACACUACUUAGAAUUAGAUUUUUAAAGCUGGAAAGAACCUGGUCGAAUUUCCUUCCAUUAAAGAUAAAGAAACAGACCUGGAGGCCUGAUGUCACUUCAGUUCAAUUCAACAGGUGUUUUCUAAGCACCUACUGUGUGCCAGACACCAGCCUGACAUAAGAGAAGCAAUGAGUGAUAUGAUACGGCACUUGGCCUCCGUCUUCCCACCCUCACACGGUCAGGCGGGGCAGAUGCAGGACUGCAUUCUUGCUUCUGCAGGCAGGUGCACUAAGAGUGGGCAGACAGACCACCAGUAGGGCCAGUGUUGGAAAUCAUUCUUCAAUUUGCUAGAACUGUGAAGAAUGACUCAUACAGCACUCCCAGAAGGGUACCGUCAUUGUCAUAUCUCUGAAAUCUUGGGAAAUAAAGUUAGAUCUCAAAUGUAGGGAUUAGGGACACAAACCCAGGAAGUUCAUAACUGUAAACUUCUCUCAAUUCAGUUGAAUU
This 920-nucleotide long non-coding RNA is filed under the name Homo sapiens (human). Its description in RNAcentral is "long non-coding RNA NONHSAT165459". The record is from RNAcentral. Lineage: Eukaryota; Metazoa; Chordata; Mammalia; Primates; Hominidae.